UAACACGAACCGUGCGAACGUUAUUCGGAAUUACUGGGCUUAAAGAGUUCGUAGGCGGCGUGUUAAGUUGGGUGUGAAAUCCCUUGGCUCAACCAAGGAAUUGCGCUCAAAACUAGCAUGCUUGAGGAAGACAGGGGUAAGCGGAACUGAUGGUGGAGCGGUGAAAUGCGUAGAUAUCAUCAGGAACACCGGUGGCGAAGGCGGCUUACUGGGUCUUUUCUGACGCUGAGGAACGAAAGCUAGGGGAGCGAACGGGAUUAGAUACCCCGGUAGUCCUAGCUGUAAACGAUGAGCACUGGGUCGAGGGGACCUUCACAUCCUCUCGGCCGUAGCGAAAGUGUUAAGUGCUCCGCCUGGGGAGUAUGGUCGCAAGGCUG
Molecule: ribosomal RNA, 377 nt
Filed under: uncultured bacterium
Lineage: Bacteria
Description: bacterial SSU rRNA
Rfam family: Bacterial small subunit ribosomal RNA
Source: RNAcentral